GGAGAGGAGAGUGGAAUUCCUAGUGUAGCAGUGAAAUGCGUAGAUAUUAGGAGGAACACCAGUUGCGAAGGCGGCUCUCUGGCCUGUAACUGACCCUGAGCCACGAAAGCGUUGGGAGACAACAGGACUAGCUACCCUGGUAGUCCACGCUGUAAACGAUGAGUACUAGGUGUCGGGGGUUAUCACCUAAGGUGCCGCCGAUACAGCAUUAAGUAUUCCGCCUGGGUAGUACGCCCGCAAGAAUGACACUAUAAGGAAUUGACGGGGACCCGCACAGUUAGCGGAGCAUGUGGGUUAUUUCGUAUCACAGGGAGGAACCUUACCCAGGCGAGCAAGCCAAAUGACAUACUUUUACUCGGAACCUCCACUUCGGGUACAGUGGUAACCGGGCGGGCGUGGU
Molecule: ribosomal RNA, 400 nt
Filed under: Clostridioides difficile
Lineage: Bacteria; Bacillati; Bacillota; Clostridia; Peptostreptococcales; Peptostreptococcaceae
Description: bacterial SSU rRNA
Rfam family: Bacterial small subunit ribosomal RNA
Source: RNAcentral